This is a long non-coding RNA of Dicentrarchus labrax (European seabass), 1340 nucleotides long. RefSeq lists it as uncharacterized. Lineage: Eukaryota; Metazoa; Chordata; Actinopteri; Moronidae. The record is from RefSeq and is a predicted model, not a curated record. The transcript is spliced from 5 exons.
GACCGACUCGUACUCGGACUGACCCUCGGUCGCCAUCUUGACUUGUACUCAGUCGGUGCACGCCGGAUACAUCUACGGGGUGGUGGUGACGCAUCCUUAGGCCUUCUCUUUCACGGCUGUCCUCCAUGUCACAGAAGUAAAGGCGAGAGACAAAGAUCCUGAGUCGAAGGUUGGGCGUCUGGCUGAGGAACUGGGACAGUCUGAUGGAGCAGUUGGAGCAGGGAGACCAGGAGCAGAACCAGACUUCUCAUAUGCUUCCCUAUCUUGACCCGCAUUACUUACCUCUACAUGGCAGCCGUUGCGAUUGCGGAGGUGUCCAAAGUCAAAGGUUAAGGUGUCUGGCCCCACUCGCCUCUUCACUACAAAGCAGAGGGUGAAGGAAAGAGUGAGGAGUGAGAGACGGAUAGGAGCAGGAGAGAGGUGUUGUCCAGACCAGAAGGGGCCUCUGAAAGUGUUGCAUAGAAACAGGCCGUUUGAAGACACAGCUGGGGAGAGAAGAAAAGAAAAAGUGAAGUUAGUCACUCUCCCUCAUUCCCUCUCUGGGCUGCCUCUCAUGAUGGGGGUCUCCUGGGUGGUUCUGAAGCACACAGUCUUCUGUUAGGCCAUCCGCCAGCGCUGAUCACUCACACACCAUGACACCGGGUGGGUGCCCUUUAAGUGUGUGUGUGCGUCCGUGGGAGUGUGUGCGCACGUGCAUGGAUGUCAGUGCGCAAAAUAAAAUGAGCUGUAUCUUUGUUUAGACUUUUGUUUUUGUGUAUGAGAAAGCGAGCACACAUUGGCCUGUUGGAAAAGGGGGAAUCCAGGGUUUGUGUAAAUGGGUGUGCAUACAGUAUAUGUGUGUAAUUAUGGGUAUGUGGUGGUAUAAGUGCGGUGUCUGUAUAUCGUGCAUGAGCAUCAGUGUUUGUGUGUGCGUCUGCGUGUAUGUUUGUGUGUGGCCUUCAUAUGCUACCCAUUACAUCACCAAUCUGUGUAAACCACCAUAGGAGGAGAAACAGAGUGAGACACUCAGACUACGACCUCAAAGACAUCAGAGAGGAAGGGGAACCUGUGACAGGGCCUGCCAGCCCUCACUGCCAGACAAACUUUACUCACACAAGCUUCACUCAAUUCGGUCAUGCUUUACACUGGGUUUCCUGUGCGCCAUGGCAUGUAUUCACACAUUAUUACGCAGGCUUCAAAUCAUUUGAACGCCUCACACUCCUCGCUCACCUUUUGCCAGGCUGUUAAUCCACACAGCUGCACGAUUCAUUUCCCAUUCGCCAAAGUCACUUUCAAGACUGAUCUAAACGAAUUCAGAAUGAGUAUUAGUAUAAUAUACUUCACAGUUUAUUUAUCUUACA